This 2278-nucleotide long non-coding RNA is filed under the name Triticum aestivum (bread wheat). RNAcentral describes it as "long non-coding RNA (TAES_LNC000729)". Lineage: Eukaryota; Viridiplantae; Streptophyta; Magnoliopsida; Poales; Poaceae. The record is from RNAcentral.
UAUCAAUGGCCGGCAUUCAAAUCCUUCUGUUUUCUGUUAAAGAUUAGGUAUGUAAAUUAUAACAGAUGAAUGAAAGCAAGCAAACAUUGCAUUUAUCCAUGGAUUCAGAUUUCUGAUAGUUUGGAGCAAGCAUAUGAAAAGAAACAGAUCCAUCCCAAUCGAACGCAAACAAAUCCAUCUUUUGAGAAGCUCUUUUUGGUUCACAGGACAACAUCCACAAUAUAUACACACAUCUUUCUCUAUAUUUCCAACUAAAUCAACGCAUCAUGUAAUGAACUCAGGUAGACAAUUUCCAAAAACAGAAGACCAUGCAGAACCCAUCUCAUCCCCUCAGUGCGACAGGCAUCAAUCAAAGAUUUAAAAACUACAAUUAUGAUAGGCAUGAUGGCUACAGCUAACGUUCAUGUAAUUAAUCCUUAAGCCAAAAACUAAAUCAAUGACCAAAAUGAAGUAAUAUAGAAAUACUUUUGAAUAAUCCAUGGACAGGGGCGGAGCCAGGAUUUAGACAUAGGGGGGCGAGACAAUAGCAAAGGCCAGAAAUAUUUUGUCUCACAAACUACAGAAGUGUUUUAUAUCCAGAUAUCACUUACAAUCGGGUCAGGUCUAGCUAUAAGCUGUAGUGUUGAACUACAUAAGUUUGUAAUCCAACUACUACAAAGUACGGCAUAAAGUACAUUUCUAAACAUUUACCAAUCAUAAAAUACUAAAGUUGUAGUGUUUUAUCAUAUGCAUGUUUUAGAUGAACAUGACCAAUCAUUGUAUAACUAAAUAGUAGGAUUUAGCUUUCAUUCAUAUAGUUCUAAAUGGAAAAUCAAUCACUGCUUGGGACAACACUUACAUUUACUUGAUAUAUACCAAGGCAAACAUACUUAAACAUAUAUUUUUAUUAGAAAAAAGUGAUCAGCGUCGAAAGAAUACAUACCUAGAGUAUCAAAUCCAGCCCCGGCUCGUCCCAUCUGCUCGUAAUAACGGAUGCUCGUUGUUUCCGCAAACCGCAGGCAUGCGGGAUCCGGCAACCAUCGCUGGUAAACUUCGCAGGACAAAGAAUCAAAGGGUCCGCGCUUCCGAAAGAUUGUGCGCGUCUACGCCCUAGUGUGAUGCCGAUGGCCGAUGGCAACACUAGAUUAAGUUUGGGCGGCGGCGGCCAGAGAUCAGUUUGAGCUUCGUUAGGUCAAAGGGCACACGGGAUGGAAAUGAACGCCUAGAUGUAGAUGCGCGUGUAUUGCAAAUGGUCUUCGAUCGAUCGGUGAUUGGGUUGGCGUUGUUUUGGGCUUGGGCCAGCCAGCAUCUGGAUGCAUGAAUAAAGGCUUGUACUCUAAUGGUCGAGUACUAAGUGACAAUUACAGAGUAGGUUAGUACUAGCCCCCCUUCAAAAUCCAUGGGGGUGGCCGGCCCAUAGGGGGGGUCUGGCCCCCGCUGCCCCCCCUACUGGCUCCGCCCCUGUCCAUGGAGUAAUCCUAAAGCCAAAUAGGUAAAUCAGAGAGUAAGGGAAACUAACAUGAAAUCUACAGCGAGCAGAUACGACCGCUCAAUGCAUCUAGAAGAAGAGCAACUAAUGCAUGAAAAGGAACUAAACCAGAUCUGAGCACAUAAGACAAGCUUAGUUUUGUUGAUUGAAGAAUAAUCUGAACGGUGCUACAAUUUACACCAAGGAGACAUGUCUAUUCCUAAGAAGUGAAUGAUUCGCGGAUCUGAAUGUUCUAAUAGAAGUGGUGAUGAGAAACGAGUUCAAGUGUUGUAGCUCAUGGAUUGCGACGACGUUCACAUUGUUAUCAUGAGUCUAACCGAAGUUUGCCCAGAUGGAAGAACAACACUUUUGGGUAAAUGAGUGAGCUAGACAUGAGGAUAACAUGAUCUAAUGAGUGUAAAUAAAAAAUUCUUGGAUGAACACAAAUGUACAUAUAGACACAGUCCAACUUCCAUGCAUGAACAAAAUCAACACAUAGACACAACCCAGCAUGAGUAAAAUAAUUUGAUGGUUAACUUAUGAAGCUAGAUCCUAUUUUCUGAACAAGACAUCAAGUAAAUAGUAGCAGUUACUCAUAAAUUACUUGACUAAGAUCUGUCCAUGGUAAUCCCUAGUCUAAGGUUGUACCUGAUGUUGAUGGGGAUCGAAGUUGGUUGCGUACUUUGUGUAAUUUUUCCUCACCAGCAGCGAUGUAGACAGCGGGUGGCGAUGGUCUCAGUCUUGGCAUGCCUGCCUGGGUGCCCGUGGCAAAGAACUCAUCGUUCGUAACCAGCAAUGAACGGCAACUGACUGUUGCAUACGGCAAAUACC